Molecule: non-coding RNA, 212 nt
Organism: Caenorhabditis elegans
Lineage: Eukaryota; Metazoa; Nematoda; Chromadorea; Rhabditida; Rhabditidae
Source: Ensembl
CCCAUUGACCUACUAAUUGUCUAAGCUCUCCUCAAUCCACGUACUGUUUCAUCCCUACGACGGAACGGUCGUUUGAGAAUUCAAAAGUUAUGAGAGGUUUAUCCGCCUCAUUUCAUCGUUUUGUACUUUCUCGUAACUGGUUUCAAAUGAGCUGGAAAUAGGGGAACAUUUAUGGCAGUUGAUUCAAUAUAUGGUACCGAAUGGUAGGCAAG